UCUCGUAGGUGACCUGCGGAGGGAUCAUUACACAAAUAUGAAGGCGGGCUGGAACCUCUCGGGGUUACAGCCUUGCUGAAUUAUUCACCCUUGUCUUUUGCGUACUUCUUGUUUCCUUGGUGGGUUCGCCCACCACUAGGACAAACAUAAACCUUUUGUAAUUGCAAUCAGCGUCAGUAACAAAUUAAUAAUUACAACUUUCAACAACGGAUCUCUUGGUUCUGGCAUCGAUGAAGAACGCAGCGAAAUGCGAUAAGUAGUGUGAAUUGCAGAAUUCAGUGAAUCAUCGAAUCUUUGAACGCACAUUGCGCCCUUUGGUAUUCCAAAGGGCAUGCCUGUUCGAGCGUCAUUUGUACCCUCAAGCUUUGCUUGGUGUUGGGCGUCUUGUCUCUAGCUUUGCUGGAGACUCGCCUUAAAGUAAUUGGCAGCCGGCCUACUGGUUUCGGAGCGCAGCACAAGUCGCACUCUCUAUCAGCAAAGGUCUAGCAUCCAUUAAGCCUUUUUUUCAACUUUUGACCUCGGAUCAGGUAGGGAUACCCGCUGAACUUAAGCAUAUCAAA
This 560-nucleotide unclassified non-coding RNA is filed under the name Alternaria alternata. RNAcentral's name for it is "sequence contains ITS1, 5.8S rRNA gene, ITS2". The stretch from base 196 to 349 matches the Rfam family "5.8S ribosomal RNA". The record is from RNAcentral. Lineage: Eukaryota; Fungi; Ascomycota; Dothideomycetes; Pleosporales; Pleosporaceae.